GUGGGGAAUUUUGGACAAUGGGCGCAAGCCUGAUCCAGCCAUGCCGCGUGAGUGAAGAAGGCCUUCGGGUUGUAAAGCUCUUUCGGCCGGGAAGAAAUCGGCGACUCUAACAUAGUCGCUGGAUGACGGUACCGGACUAAGAAGCACCGGCUAACUACGUGCCAGCAGCCGCGGUAAUACGUAGGGUGCGAGCGUUAAUCGGAAUUACUGGGCGUAAAGCGUGCGCAGGCGGUUUUGUAAGACAGAUGUGAAAUCCCCGGGCUUAACCUGGGAACUGCGUUUGUGACUGCAAGGCUAGAGUACGGCAGAGGGGGGUGGAAUUCCGCGUGUAGCAGUGAAAUGCGUAGAUAUGCGGAGGAACACCGAUGGCGAAGGCAAUCCCCUGGGCCUGCACUGACGCUCAUGCACGAAAGCGUGGGUAGCAAACAGGAUUAGAUACCCCUGUAGUCC
Molecule: ribosomal RNA, 450 nt
Filed under: uncultured bacterium
Lineage: Bacteria
Description: partial 16S ribosomal RNA
Rfam family: Bacterial small subunit ribosomal RNA
Source: RNAcentral